CAGGGCCAGCAGCGGAGGCUGAGAGGGGCCCAGCUCAGCUGGUCUUUAAUUCAGUGCAGAGCAUCUUGGACAUCGAGAAGGCAGCAAUAAGAAGCUCGCCGGCCACUGUGUACACACAGGAGCAUGGAGCAUAAUGGAGUGACACCGGCUACCCUCUCCUUAGACUCCUUCGUAGACCUGAGCCUCCCACGGUGAAGAAACAAGGGCGGGAGACACAUGAUCUUAACUCUCUUGGUAGCAAUAAGCCAUACAUUCCAAAUCGAAGAAUUUCCUCAAGUGGUGAUCAGCUGAAUGACCCGGCCUCCCCUCCAUCCACCCCACACCCCCUACCCCCAGCUCACGGGCUGUAUUGUGAUUCAUUGAUCUUAUAACAGUUACCUUUCUAAAAUGCAUGUCUAUAAGAGUCCACAGAAUUAUAAACACAAUUUAGAAUGUUAAUAUAAAAUUAUCAUGUAACAUAAAUAGCGAGACAGUUUGGGGUGCUCUGUGGUUCUGCAAUUUGGUGAUUCUCAUUGAAAACACUACUCUUGAAAUUCUUUGGAAGAUAAUAAGUUCAUCGUUAUAUAGUCAGAAUUCUCUUUUCCUUGUAAAACCCUGACCCCUUAGCGUUGUAUUAAAUUCCACUCACAAAGAGAAAGAAAAAUCUGCUAUUUGUGUACUUUUGCCAACCAACAAAUUCCCAAGUACUACUCCUCAAAUGAUUCCCAGCAUAAACUUCAGUGAAAUGUGAAUAAAAAUUGUAAAUGAGCUCUCAGCCUUUUAAUAUUCUCUCACUUGAGGAACAACGUUGGGCUGGCCGAAGCAGGUGCUGAAAUAUUUUCCUGUAGCCUAAUAUCUUACCCCCAUGCAGAGUAAAUUUGGAACUUCACCCUUUACAGGCGCAAGCCAUGGCUGAGGUCAGAUUCAACUCUUCUUUUUUUUUUCCUUAAAGAUUGGCACCUGAGCUAACAACUGUUGUCAAUCUUCUUUUUUUUUUUUUCUGCUUUUUC
Molecule: long non-coding RNA, 989 nt
Filed under: Equus caballus (horse)
Lineage: Eukaryota; Metazoa; Chordata; Mammalia; Perissodactyla; Equidae
Description: lncRNA (ENSECAG00000054728.1)
Source: RNAcentral